GAUGAACGCUGGCGGCGUGCCUAAUACAUGCAAGUCGAGCGAACGGACGAGAAGCUUGCUUCUCUGAUGUUAGCGGCGGACGGGUGAGUAACACGUGGAUAACCUACCUAUAAGACUGGGAUAACUUCGGGAAACCGGAGCUAAUACCGGAUAAUAUUUUGAACCGCAUGGUUCAAAAGUGAAAGACGGUCUUGCUGUCACUUAUAGAUGGAUCCGCGCUGCAUUAGCUAGUUGGUAAGGUAACGGCUUACCAAGGCAACGAUGCAUAGCCGACCUGAGAGGGUGAUCGGCCACACUGGAACGGAGACACGGUCCAGACUCCUACGGGAGGCAGCAGUAGGGAAUCUUCCGCAAUGGGCGAAAGCAUGACGGAGCAACGCCGCGUGAGUGAUGAAGGUCUUCGGAUCGUAAAACUCUGUUAUUAGGGAAGAACAUAUGUGUAAGUAACUGUGCACAUCUUGACGGUACCUAAUCAGAAAGCCACGGCUAACUACGUG
RNAcentral lists this ribosomal RNA (497 nucleotides) under uncultured bacterium. RNAcentral's name for it is "partial 16S ribosomal RNA". It matches the Rfam family "Bacterial small subunit ribosomal RNA", at positions 28 to 507 of the family's 1533-position model. The record is from RNAcentral.